RNAcentral lists this ribosomal RNA (424 nucleotides) under Micrococcus luteus. Its description in RNAcentral is "bacterial SSU rRNA". It matches the Rfam family "Bacterial small subunit ribosomal RNA", at positions 28 to 449 of the family's 1533-position model. The record is from RNAcentral. Lineage: Bacteria; Bacillati; Actinomycetota; Actinomycetes; Micrococcales; Micrococcaceae.
GAUGAACGCUGGCGGCGUGCUUAACACAUGCAAGUCGAACGAUGAAGCCCAGCCUGCUGGGCGGAUUAGUGGCGAACGGGUGAGUAACACGUGAGUAACCUGCCCUUGACUCUGGGAUAAGCCCGGGAAACUGGGUCUAAUACCGGAUAGGAGCGCCUGUCGCAUGACGGGUGCUGGAAAGAUUUUUCGGUCAUGGAUGGACUCGCGGCCUAUCAGCUUGUUGGUGAGGUAACGGCUCACCAAGGCGACGACGGGUAGCCGGCCUGAGAGGGUGACCGGCCACACUGGGACUGAGACACGGCCCAGACUCCUACGGGAGGCAGCAGUGGGGAAUAUUGCACAAUGGGCGGAAGCCUGAUGCAGCGACGCCGCGUGAGGGAUGACGGCCUUUCGGGUUGUAAACCUCUUUUCAGUAAGGGAAGAA